Molecule: ribosomal RNA, 80 nt
Filed under: Campylobacterales bacterium
Lineage: Bacteria; Pseudomonadati; Campylobacterota; Epsilonproteobacteria; Campylobacterales
Description: partial 16S ribosomal RNA
Rfam family: Bacterial small subunit ribosomal RNA
Source: RNAcentral
CAGCCACGGUAGGCUCAGUGACUGGGGUGAAGUCGUAACAAGGUAGCCGUAGGGGAACCUGCGGCUGGAUCACCUCCUUU